UAAACUGCACAUAUAACGUGAAUCAGGAAAAGACAAAAAGAAAAAAAGUGUGAGAGACGGGCCUUCCAAUUUCUAGGCACCUUGAACAUCAUCUUUACAAAUAUAACCACCUUUUUUUUCACUUCACAUUUCUAACCACCUUAAAUCUCGGACGAACAUGUUGUGAAAGUGCUGUUAUGUUCGCCCCUGGCAAGGGAGAACAUAACAAAGGAGACGUUAUAUGUUCGCCCCCCACAGGGGCGAACACAUAAGGGCAUGCACGCUAGAGAUUUCCAAUAUUGACAAUUUGCAACAGGAGGACCUACUGGAAUUUUUUGGUGACAACUGACAUGUACUUUUGUAUUCAUGUUCCUUAUCUAUGGUUUUCUCGAGCACUUUUACUUGUAAAUGUUUUUAACUAAAAUUGCGUAUAAUUUAGAGAAAAUUAAGACUUCGACAGACAAUUAAAAAUAUAUACAUCUCUAUUAAAAGUAUUUAAAUAUGUAUUUUCUGGGGGGAAAUAAUUCACCUUUAUAAAUAAAAAAUAUUAAAGUCAUAUUAAAUAUUUACACUAUAAAUAUUAAUGAAUAUGAAUUUUUUUUCUUAAAUAAGUCUGUGAAAUUAGUUUAACCAAAGUAUAGGAUAAAUUUAAAGGAAGUGAGGAGGGGGAAUGAUACUCCUCUGUUCUCAUUUGUUUACGGUUUUUUCACACUGCUCGACACGCAUUUUAAUGCGUAUAUAAAACAUAGUUCUAUAGUUUAUUUUUAAUUUUUUUUCUUUAUUAUAUAAAAAUAUAAAUAACAAAUUUUUAUUUAAAAGAAAAAAGUUCGAAAUAAUUUAUUGAACUACGUUUUACGAGAGCAUUAGAAUGCGUGUCGAGCCCCCGCCCCCUAAUGUAAACAAAUGAGGGGACGGAGGGAGUAUUAGUUUCUAGCAUUUAUGUCUCAUUUGAGUUUUUGUUGAUCUUGUACAUAAAUUAUCUUAUAUUCAUAUAAUUUAAACUAAUAAAAAGUUUAUAAUCCCUUCCAAUUUCAUUUGAUUAUUUUUCACUUAUGUUUAAUUUUUUAAUUUAACGACCAAAACUAAAAGUUUUAUUUUUCCUAAUAAAAAAUAAAUAACAAAAUUCUAAUAAAAUAUAAAAAAAUAUUAAUAUUACUACGCAAAGCCCUCAGAAAACACGGCAUGUUAAAAACGUACAGCAUGAAAAUGCAGCUCCCCGGAGGCUGUAGACAAUUGAUUGUGAAAAACAUGAGAGAAAAUUAAGCUAAUGUCAUUAUUACACAGACAAUUGUUCAGACCGACCCAGCAACCCCUUUUCUGUCCGCGUGCAUGCCCUUAUGUGUUCGCCCCUGUGGGGGGCGAACAUAUAACGUCCCCUUUGUUAUGUUCUCCCUUGUCAGGGGCGAACAUAACAGCACUUUCACAACAUGUUCGCCCGAGAUUUAAGGUGGUUAGAAAUGUGAAGUGAAAAAAAGAGUGGUUAUAUUUGUAAAGAUGAUGUUCAAGGUGCCUAGAAAUUGGAAGGAGCCGUGAGAGACGUAUCCAGCACAUUCACAAAUGUCCGUAUUCUGACCCAGAAAAGGAAAGUAAAAAUCCUCUUGAUCUUUCUAAAAUCUCUCUCAACAUGAUCUCCGAAACACACUGGCUGUCUAGUUGACUCUUCUUUCACACACAUAAUCAUAAAUCAUAAUAUAAAUUAUGGAACCGUUUGGGUGAGUUUAAAAUAAGUGCUUAUUGCUUAAAAUAAAUAAG
RNAcentral lists this long non-coding RNA (1731 nucleotides) under Daucus carota (carrot). RNAcentral describes it as "long non-coding RNA (DCAR_LNC005474)". The record is from RNAcentral. Lineage: Eukaryota; Viridiplantae; Streptophyta; Magnoliopsida; Apiales; Apiaceae.